Molecule: ribosomal RNA, 852 nt
Filed under: Enterococcus faecium
Lineage: Bacteria; Bacillati; Bacillota; Bacilli; Lactobacillales; Enterococcaceae
Description: bacterial SSU rRNA
Rfam family: Bacterial small subunit ribosomal RNA
Source: RNAcentral
AACGCUUCUUUUUCCACCGGAGCUUGCUCCACCGGAAAAAGAGGAGUGGCGAACGGGUGAGUAACACGUGGGUAACCUGCCCAUCAGAAGGGGAUAACACUUGGAAACAGGUGCUAAUACCGUAUAACAAUCGAAACCGCAUGGUUUUGAUUUGAAAGGCGCUUUCGGGUGUCGCUGAUGGAUGGACCCGCGGUGCAUUAGCUAGUUGGUGAGGUAACGGCUCACCAAGGCCACGAUGCAUAGCCGACCUGAGAGGGUGAUCGGCCACAUUGGGACUGAGACACGGCCCAAACUCCUACGGGAGGCAGCAGUAGGGAAUCUUCGGCAAUGGACGAAAGUCUGACCGAGCAACGCCGCGUGAGUGAAGAAGGUUUUCGGAUCGUAAAACUCUGUUGUUAGAGAAGAACAAGGAUGAGAGUAACUGUUCAUCCCUUGACGGUAUCUAACCAGAAAGCCACGGCUAACUACGUGCCAGCAGCCGCGGUAAUACGUAGGUGGCAAGCGUUGUCCGGAUUUAUUGGGCGUAAAGCGAGCGCAGGCGGUUUCUUAAGUCUGAUGUGAAAGCCCCCGGCUCAACCGGGGAGGGUCAUUGGAAACUGGGAGACUUGAGUGCAGAAGAGGAGAGUGGAAUUCCAUGUGUAGCGGUGAAAUGCGUAGAUAUAUGGAGGAACACCAGUGGCGAAGGCGGCUCUCUGGUCUGUAACUGACGCUGAGGCUCGAAAGCGUGGGGAGCAAACAGGAUUAGAUACCCUGGUAGUCCACGCCGUAAACGAUGAGUGCUAAGUGUUGGAGGGUUUCCGCCCUUCAGUGCUGCAGCUAACGCAAUAAGCACUCCGCCUGGGGAGUACGACC